GUUACAUUCAUAAAUCAGCUAUGUUGAAACACUGAUGAAGUGUUAUAAAGAUACAUUGUCUAAUCUAAAAUAAGUAUACAGGUAGGACAUUAUAUUUCUUUAAGUGUAGACAAUAUUUAUUUACCUUUCAAAUUAAUCUUUGUGAUUUGGUGCCUAAGUUUUUAUUUAAUACGACAAUGGCAGAACGUACGCUUAACCAUGUUCCCCUUCUUAUCAUUGUUAUAACAUGCAAAAUUGUUUCAGACGCACAAUGACAACCCGAAUCUGUUUUAAAGGAAAUUUUAUAAAUCAAAAAGAUAAAGUUGUUCUUAGCAUAAAUGUGUAUCUAAACUAAAUUUAAGAAGAGUGAAACAAUUUUAUUUCAACUCGUUAACCUUUCCAGAUAUAAACUUUAGAGAGAAACGCAUGGCUCAGGUUGCAUUCAAAACGUGUGACAUUUGCAGUAGUGCUCCAGAAAGACAUUGUUGUAUCGACUGUGAACAAUGUUUUUUGUGGAAAUUGUAGAGGCUUACAUACAAGGCAAACAGCAACACGACAACAUGAAUUUCAGGAAAUUUCCCAGAUGAAGAC
This 570-nucleotide long non-coding RNA is filed under the name Mytilus galloprovincialis (Mediterranean mussel). The record is from RNAcentral. Lineage: Eukaryota; Metazoa; Mollusca; Bivalvia; Mytilida; Mytilidae.